RNAcentral lists this ribosomal RNA (496 nucleotides) under uncultured bacterium. Its description in RNAcentral is "partial 16S ribosomal RNA". It matches the Rfam family "Bacterial small subunit ribosomal RNA", at positions 29 to 507 of the family's 1533-position model. The record is from RNAcentral.
AUGAACGCUGGCGGCGUGCCUAAUACAUGCAAGUCGAGCGAACGGACGAGAAGCUUGCUUCUCUGAUGUUAGCGGCGGACGGGUGAGUAACACGUGGAUAACCUACCUAUAAGACUGGGAUAACUUCGGGAAACCGGAGUUAAUACCGGAUAAUAUUUUGAACCGCAUGGUUCAAAAGUGAAAGACGGUCUUGCUGUCACUUAUAGAUGGAUCCGCGCUGCAUUAGCUAGUUGGUAAGGUAACGGCUUACCAAGGCAACGAUGCAUAGCCGACCUGAGAGGGUGAUCGGCCACACUGGAACUGAGACACGGUCCAGACUCCUACGGGAGGCAGCAGUAGGGAAUCUUCCGCAAUGGGCGAAAGCCUGACGGAGCAACGCCGCGUGAGUGAUGAAGGUCUUCGGAUCGUAAAACUCUGUUAUUAGGGAAGAACAUAUGUGUAAGUAACUGUGCACAUCUUGACGGUACCUAAUCAGAAAGCCACGGCUAACUACGUG